AAGACAUUUCUUAUUUGUCAUCUUAUUUAUUAAAUUGAAGAUAUUAUUCGAUAUAGCAGUGUCUAGUAUUAUUUCUCAAUAAUUUUAGAAUAAUUACUGUUCUAGUACUUCAAACUCACAAAAUAUGUCUGAUUAUUUGCAGUAUAAUACAAAUCGACUAUUGAUGUCAUCGAAGUUGAUGUCUUCAUAUCGAACGUUCUUAUGUCGGCAUUAAAUAAUCUUAUUGCAUCAAUUAUUAUAGACAAUGGCUUUGUGCGUUAUUUAUUAUGCGCAUGCAUAGUGUAUUCUUUUAUUUUUUACUUUUAAAUAGUCAUAGUAAGGCAAUGACUUUUUUGCUACUUCAUCUAGCAAGCAGCAUUUUUAACAGAAUUAUUUAUAUUGUAUGUUUGUUUUUAGAUGAUUUUUGUACCGUAUGUGCAUGCUACAUUAUCCGUACUUAUUUUUUUUAUAGAAUACCGGAUGUUCUCGAGUCGUCAUCUUUACCGGACAUUGUGUGUUCAAGGCUUCAGGCAAGGAAAGGCGAUUCUUUUGUCUUACCGCUCUGGAGAUGCUGGAUGGUCAAACUUUAAAAUACUUCUUGAAAUCGGAUCUAGAUUCACGAGGCGAAUGAAAGACUCGGGAGGACGCAAAAGACAAUAUAUUGGCAGUACAAAAAAUACCGGUGUCAGGAUUAUUACUCCGGGGCAAGUGGCUCGACGUGACAGCUGCGAGCGGCCAAAGGCGAAGUUCGCAGGAUACUCGAGUAUCACCAGCCCGCCGAAAAAUGUCGGAAUAACGACGUUGCCCGCGGACAGAAUAGGAGAAAGCGAAGGAGGAGGAGGAGGAGGUGUAGUAGAGAAGAAGUAUCGAAGAAAAGGAAGGAGGCAAGCUAUUCACCGAGGCAGUUAUCGCGGAUGAGGCAGGCCCAUCGAAAAGCCACGCCCCAGAAGAUGAGAGAGCUACGGCGGCGAGAGAGUGAAAAGCUCUAGAAUACGGGCAAGCGGGAGCG
RNAcentral lists this unclassified non-coding RNA (988 nucleotides) under Monomorium pharaonis (pharaoh ant). Its description in RNAcentral is "uncharacterized LOC118645670, transcript variant X4". The record is from RNAcentral. Lineage: Eukaryota; Metazoa; Arthropoda; Insecta; Hymenoptera; Formicidae.